UGCUGGAUGGCUGAGAGGGGAGGAAAGCAAGGGGUUGCUGGAGAGGGGGGAAAUAGUGACGUUUAAGCACGAGAAAGUGACCGAGCUCGCUAAUGGCAAAUCCUGGUUGCGGUGGCUUUUAGUGCUCUGCGAAAACACGUUAUAAUUGCAGGAUCUCAAAGGCAGGAUGAGAAGGAUGAUCUGAUAGAGUUGCACUGAAUCCGAGAUGGGCCGAUCCUUUAGUUGAGAAUGGCAGAGGAAGUUCGUACAGUGAAGGGAUUUUUCUGGCUCAGACACAGAUUCGUGCCUGCAGAUCAAAGCUCAAGAGUCACAGUUCCCUCGUGCAGACUACAGAAUCCAUUUCACAUGAGCAAUACACUUUGGGAAAUCCCUGAAGCCAGGUGGAAAUAAGGAACACCAAUAGAAAAGAACCACUGUCAACUCAAAGCAGCAUACAAAGACACAGAGCUCCCAGUGGCAGAGAUCCUUGCCAGCAGGGCUCCCAUCUGGACAGAGGAAUCCUUUGAAAUAUAUUUCUCUUCUACAGACUACUGCAAAUGCCCUAUACAUAAAACCUCAUGAGCCCUGGUUUUAUUUUGGACAGCA
This is a long non-coding RNA of Coturnix japonica (Japanese quail), 585 nucleotides long. RefSeq lists it as uncharacterized. NCBI's taxonomy places the organism in Eukaryota, Metazoa, Chordata, Aves, Galliformes, Phasianidae. The record is from RefSeq and is a predicted model, not a curated record.